Molecule: ribosomal RNA, 253 nt
Filed under: uncultured bacterium
Lineage: Bacteria
Description: partial 16S ribosomal RNA
Rfam family: Bacterial small subunit ribosomal RNA
Source: RNAcentral
UACGUAGGGUGCGAGCAUUGUCCGGAAUUAUUGGGCGUAAAGAGCUCGUAGGCGGCUUGUCGCGUCGGAUGUGAAAGCCCGGGGCUUAACUCCGGGUCUGCAUUCGAUACGGGCAGGCUAGAGUUCGGUAGGGGAGAUCGGAAUUCCUGGUGUAGCGGUGAAAUGCGCAGAUAUCAGGAGGAACACCGGUGGCGAAGGCGGAUCUCUGGGCCGAUACUGACGCUGAGGAGCGAAAGCGUGGGGAGCGAACAGG